RNAcentral lists this ribosomal RNA (191 nucleotides) under Brunneochlamydosporium cibotii. RNAcentral's name for it is "Gliocladium cibotii 5.8S ribosomal RNA". The stretch from base 2 to 155 matches the Rfam family "5.8S ribosomal RNA". Rfam says of the family: 5.8S ribosomal RNA (5.8S rRNA) is a component of the large subunit of the eukaryotic ribosome. It is transcribed by RNA polymerase I as part of the 45S precursor that also contains 18S and 28S rRNA. RNAcentral also lists the same sequence under 3 other names. Lineage: Eukaryota; Fungi; Ascomycota; Sordariomycetes; Glomerellales; Plectosphaerellaceae. The record is from RNAcentral.
AAACUUUCAACAACGGAUCUCUUGGCUCCAGCAUCGAUGAAGAACGCAGCGAAACGCGAUAUGUAAUGUGAAUUGCAGAAUUCAGUGAAUCAUCGAAUCUUUGAACGCACAUGGCGCCUUCCAGUAUCCUGGGAGGCAUGCCUGUCCGAGCGUCGUUUCAACCCUCGAGCCCCCGUGGCCCGGCGUUGGGG